RNAcentral lists this long non-coding RNA (1695 nucleotides) under Chrysolophus pictus (golden pheasant). Its description in RNAcentral is "lncRNA (ENSCPIG00010001549.1)". Lineage: Eukaryota; Metazoa; Chordata; Aves; Galliformes; Phasianidae. The record is from RNAcentral.
CAGGACAGGGUGACACAAGGGCUCUGCAAUGUUCUCACGGCUGCCUUCCGGGGCAUCGCUGCCUCUCCCUGCUCUGUGAGGGGCUUUGUUCUUCACCACGGCACCGUUUGCCUCCUAUGGUCCUGGUGGCCUUGUCAAUAACAGUGGAUGAGGGAUCGGCCCCAUCUGCCCCACGCUGCUGGCCGACAGCACACAUCUGUGCAGAGCUCAGCACAGGAGCUGGGAGCAAGCUUGAGCCGCCACCUUAAUCUGUUCUCCCAUAGACUGGGUGGGAGAGUGGAGCCAUUGAGAGCCAUUUGGCUCCAGCCUGGCUCCAGAGGGAGCGCAUUGGGCACAGCACCCUGUGCCAUUCAGCUGCCCACACCAUGCAGCCAGCCCAGAGAAUGGGACAGGGCAAGUCCAGGAGGUCAGAGCCAGCUGGCACUCCCAGCCCAUUGCCAGCAGCACGGGGCUCCGAUGUGUGCUGCUGCAAAGCGACUCAGCGAGGAAAGUGCUGAGGCCCCAUGCUGAGCUCCCACUGAACCUUUGAAUUAUUUUUGGUUAAUUAGAUUCAACAAGUCAGCAAAAGCUCUCCCCACCCCCACGCCCACCCUUCGCCCUGCCUCAUGCUUUCCAACAGCAGCUCUUUGCUCCUGGAGAGGCCAGGAUGCCCUAUUCUCUGCACAGCUGAAGGCUGUCUUUUCUUUUUACAGUUCAAUUCCUUUUAGCCUCGUGUGCGGGGAGGAUGGCAGCAAAGCCAGAGGCACAAGGAGGCUGCGGGGUGUUACUGCAGGAAUGCUGCUGUCCUUCAGAGCCUGGGAGGUUCUUUCAGAGAGGAGAAGACCCAGCCAGGGGUAGUUUCCUCCUUCAGACCCAAGGAGCAUUUCUGGAGUGGGGCAUAGCAGGGCUCCUCGUGGCAGCUGGCAGUGCAACGGACCACGUCCUGUUGUCCCCUGUAGUCCCUUCAGAAGCAGCUCUGCAGGAGCUUUGGCUCCAUGCACGCAGCGGGGCUGGAGCUGCAUUUCAGCUCUGUGGAUGUGGGUCAGGAGCUGGGGGGGUAGAGAUCAACUCAGAGCUCCCCAGGGGGAGCAGAUCUCCUCUGAGGUUGGGCAAUGACAGGGAGAGCCCUUGGAGCUGCGGUCCUCCAGCUGGGCUGCCUCGUGGCGCUGAGGACCCACAGCCAGCAGGGUUCUCUGCAGCCUCGUGCGUUUGCUUCCUGCCGAUUUCAGUAGAAACACGCAGGGAAAGGCCUGACCUCGUUCCUCCCCACCUCUCUUUAUCCCCACUGCUGCAGCCCUGCAGGAUUAUGGGCCACACUGCAGCGCUGAGCCCUUCUCCAUCCCCAUUCCAAAGCAAAGCCGUGGGUCCGGCCUGAUCCAAACCCACAGCAGCUGUUCUCCCUUUGCAGCCCCUGAUGCAUUCCUCCCCCCCAGGCUGCAAAACUCAUCUCAGCCCCCUCCUGCUCCCAUCCCGUGACCCUUCAGCCUGCUGUGUAUCACCAGUGCAAACUGUAAAUAAUUGACGCGAUGGUUUCUGAUGCUGUUUUAUUUUUUUAAAGGCAUUUGUACAGGUUUUGUAUCCUAACCCCUAAAUCGGGGCGUUUCCACGUUGUAAUUCUCCUCUUUGACCUCCGGCUCAGUUCUGGGCUUUUUUUUUUUUUUUGUAUUUCGAGCACCAAACUCAGCCGAGGCUGCACUUCACACCAAUAAAUCUCUU